CCAAGAGAAAACCUUGGCUCUCCUGUUUCCUUGACUGUGGGGGUAUGACCAUGGCCAUGGCCACAGUCAGGCUGCAAAAGCAUUGUUCUCCUGGUAGAGUUGCCAGAUUUAGCAAAUAAAAACUCAGGACCCCUAGUUAAAUGGAACUUCAGACAAUCAACAAGUAAUUUUUUAGUACAAGUAUGUAUAGACAAUCCUUAUUUUGAAGAAUACAUUAAAGAAUACUUAUGGAAUAUUGCCUGGGAUCUAUUAUACAUACUGGACAAAUAGUUACACACAUGUGCACUUAGAUACACAGAGAUACUGAUACAAAUUUGGCCUGGGACAUACUUAUUCAGAGUAUUCACUGUUUACCUGACAGUCACUGUUUACCUGUCAUUCAGGUUCAACUGGCUUGCUGCAUCCAGCUCCUGACCAAGGCAGCUCAUUGGUGAGCUCUACUUUCUUCAGCCUCAAUUGGUCGGGAAAUCUGGAAAACAACUGUGUUUGAAGCCAGCUAGGCUCAGAGUAAAUCACCAAAGCUCUGUAGUGUGAAAGGCUGCCCAGGUCAGUGCAGGAAGGCAUGAACGUAAUCCCUCCCUCAGAGAGAUGCACUCCGUGGGCAAGAGGGGCCUGGACCACUACAAGUGGCUGUCUGGCUAGGCACCCCUACACAGGCUGGUCCCCCCCUCCUUCGGGGGGAUCCCUCAGGCUACAGUGAAAAUACAUGUUACUCUCCCCAUACUUUUGACCCACCUGGAGAUCUGGCCUACUGCCCAUGGGUUGAUUCUCUGCAGGCUGCACUGGCAUCCAUAGCCCAUUGCUGUCUCUUCCACAAGGACUGCAAGCAGGAUGCUUGGCAUCCCAGAGCACAGGUAUGCUCACCUGCACUGCCCUCUGAAGGCUCAACCUUCCCACAGGUCCUGGUGGAGGCCGACUGUGGUGUGCAGAGCUCUGCUGGGGUUGCACCUGGUCUUCUCCCCCGAACCCUCUGUAAGAGGGAGGCCAGCCCAGAAACCACAGUCCUCCUUACUGUGGACGUCCUGUCUGAGACUGUCCAUCAUCAGGAAGGAAAGGCUGUUCCUCCAUGCUCUCAUGUUGAGUAACUGGGGGGUCUGCAAAUUAAACUCACAAAAGACAGAUUAACAGGAGAGAAAGGCACACAAUUUUCAUUACUAUUUACACACAUGUGGGUUCACAGAAAAAAAGGAAACUCAGAGAAGUGGUUAGACACAAGGAAUUUUAUAUCUUUUUAACAAAGGAAAGGGUUUGAGCUUCAGAAGACCAUAAGUUGUGGGGAAGUGACUAGGAGAGGUCUGGAGGGAACCAGUGGAAGUUAUGGCUAUUUUAGGAAGGCUGUAGAUGUAAACUCAUCUUGGUUCUGGCUCCCCAUCACCAAUGACAAGAGUCACUCUUCUCUCCCUGGCACAGGGCAGGUACCUCCUUCAAAGGGAAAUUGAUGCCCUGUGUUUAGGCAGAUAUGAGGAGGGCAGAGAACUCCUCCUGCAUCUGUUCAUUCUUGGUCACCUUCAGCUCCCCUUAAUCCUUGUGCCAAAGUGGCAUAUUUGGGGGUGGCAUAUUCUGAUUCCCUCACAUAGUCUGCACUAGGUGGGGCAGUGGUGGAUAUUCCUAUUGGCCAGGAAGCCAAGCAGAGGCCCCAAGUACUGCCACCACCAAAUACUUGUGCACAGACUGUGGACCUCCUACAACUAAGCCGUCUGACAGGUCUGACCCACACAACUAAACCUGGAGGAAGUCCUGCUCUCCCUUCUCCCUGCCAAGAAAAUCUCCACCUUCACUGCCUCUUUCCCCUCUCCUUCCUCCCACCCCACAAGGAGCCCCCUCUCAGGCAACUGGGUCCUUCACCCACAUUUCAAAACCCUCACGACUGGGUCCAACUCCAAGUUUGGGGGACAGGGGGAAAUUCUCCUUGAGUCAUUUUUCCUGUAGUUGAUCAAACCAAUCAGUAACUGCGAAGGUAAAUAAUUGUUCUCUCACCCCAAGCCCUGUGAGGGUGAUUUAUUUAACGUUACUUCUGAACCCUGAUGUUAACCACCCCCCACCCAGGAGCCUCAUUACAGUGAUUUGGACAAAUUCACAUGUGCUUUUACCCUGAGAGGGUACUGGAGUCAGCCGGGUUAGUACUAUAACGAUGAGCGAUCUCUCCUCAAACAUUAUGGUGAGUAGAUUUGUCUUUCCCCCCUCACUGGAGGCUGGAUUGGGCUCUAGAAGCCUGUUCUCCAGACAGAAGCAGGUUUGGGUGGUUUUCGUUGCCACUGUAAUUGCUAGCAGGAGAAGAGGACAUCUCCUCCCAGAGGUGUUGACUGGGAAGGUUUGGGGGCAAUCUGGUAUCUGGAUUAUUGACCAACCUCUCCCAGCACUCCAAAUCGGGUGAUUCAUAGAUGGCAAUUGAAAAAGAUUUGGAUUAAAUGAUCUUCCUCAUUUUCUAUUACUUGUCUGGUAGGUUAAAUAAAGCUGUGACUUAAAAUUAUAGUUCCUGGGUUUCCCUGGUAGCUUCACGGUUAAGGAUAUGGCAUUGUCACUGCUGUGGCUGGGGUCACAGCUGUGGCACAGGAUCAAUCCCUGGCCUGGGAAUUUCUGCCUGCCACAGGCAUGGCCAAAAUAACCCACUGUACUUCCUUCUUGAUGGAUUUAGACAAUUCAUAUUUGAGUUUAGUCCAGGAGACAUAUUGUUAUCUGUUUACCAGCAAUCUCUUCUUCAGGAAUCUCUGUGGCCAACAGCACAACCAUCAAUGACACCAAAACUCACUCAUUGGGGAGUUCACUCCUUAGUCGGCAGGGGCUUCUCAGGAAUCCCUGCAGGUCCAGGGUCACAGGGGUGCUGGGUGUGAAUGCCUUGGUCCAUAUUCACAACUGUCCUGGAGGACAGAUCCUAGAACUUGAGUGAAACAGAACUUAGCAAAUAUACCUUUGAAAUAUACUCACACCUUUCCUGUUUAGCCAAGGAAUUAAUUAGCAAAGAGCAGAGGGAAAAUGCCGGCUUCAUCCACUUUACUCCCUCUGCCCUCCAGGGGGCAGCAGAGGCGGGAAGAACACUCCUUAACGUGGGUGGCUCCUCACGGUCUGUCCAGCUGUACUGACAGACUCACUGAAUGAAAGGGAGGACGGGAGGGCUCUGGUUGCUUGAACGCCCAGGAUUCUGCAGCCAUGGCUGCAUUUCCCACUUGUGAUUGAGGUAUCUCCAGAGCCUGGAGAAAACCAGGGGCUGGGCAAAGAAAGGGACAGGGCUUCUGAAACACCCUGUGAACUCCUAGCCGACAGAACGACCCAAACUGCUGAGACUGAAACCCACAUCUACACUUCCAGGUAGUGCCCUUGGGCAGGUUACCUCUUUGCUUCUUUAUCUACCGAAGGGGAAUAGUAAUACUACCCUCCUCAUGUGAUUGAUGAGAGAUGAAAUGAACUAAUAAAUGUUAAUCACAUAAAAGGGCUAGCUAGACAAAGUAGAUCCUUUAUAAGAGUCGCACAUAACUCCAAACCUUUUUUGGAAAAUGCCAGAUUCUGGGUAGCACUGAUUUAAAAAAAGCAAAAACAAAAACAAAAAACAUGCAGGAGAGGGGCCCAAAUGCAACAGAUCGCCAUAUAUUAUUUAUUUAUUUAUCUUGGCCACACCUGUAGCAUGUGGAUGUUUCUGGGCCAGGAAUUGAACUUGCACCACAGCAGCGACUGGGAGUCACUGCAGUGACAAUACUGGGUCCUUAACCCACUGCACCACAAGGGAAUUCCAGCACUGAUUUUUCAUAAUUUGCAUUUGGAUUGGGCCGAAAUAGAUCUUUUCAAUAUUUAAUAACAUCUAACAGGUGUUUUAAACUGAUAUUUGAAUAAGUCCAUUGGACUAAUAAGAUUUUGUCUACAGGUAUAAACACAAAUAUAUAGAACAUGUAUUUGUAUCUAUUUCUGACAGAUACGUACAGGGUACUUUGGCAAAUACAAUAUUCCAUUUAAUAGGGGAGUUAGGUAUGCAUUGUGCCCAAUUGCCGGUUUUCAAAACUCUCCAUAUAAUAAAAUAUCUUUAAUACUGAGCCACAUUAGACAUAAUGUUUCGUGAAGGGUCAGGGUCUGCAGGGAACCACAGCUAUUACUGUACUGGAGAUAUUUGGCAGGCUGGGUCAUAGAGCUCUCUUGGAGACAGGAAACUGCAUAGCUCAGUGUUUGCUGCAGGCAUUUUCAUUCAUUCAUCAGCUUUGUUUUCCAUACACUGUUGUCUGCUCAGGUAGCCCCCAGUGACAUCUGCCUGCCUGGUUGCUAGUGGCCUGAGCUGGUUUUAGAGCAGGAACAAUCCUUAGAAACAUACUAAAGUCAGGACAGCAGCCUGAGAUAACAGGUGCAAGCAGUAGGUGCUCCAUAAAGGCUAGUUCUCCUGCCUCCCUUUCCAAUAUCUCCCUGCAUUUCUCAUUCAACUCCAGUGAGUGAGAUUUGCUCAACACUGUGGGUGAACUGAAACCACUUUCUAUUUUUUCAAAAGGGCUGAGGGAGAUGGAGUGCUAAGAUUUAUCAAUGGCUUUCUUAAUUAUCUGUAUACUAUGAGCCAUUUCCUGGCAACUCAUUUGCUCUUUUUCCUUCUCCCUAUCUUUCCCCAGAGUCCUGCUACACUUUAUCAUGUUUUUGUGCACAACAGAAAAAGGUACCUCCUGAAAUAAAAAGGCACCCUCUUUGACCUGGCAAAUUAGAAAAGAACACUCAUUCUGGAUCUGUGCCUUACUGGCUGAGCCCCUUGGUGCAAAACACAAAAGACACAACCACCCCCAGCAGCCAAUGUCACCCAGUGUCGUCCCCCCACCCCCUGUGUGGAGAGCCAGUGGUCUUCUGGUGGAAACAGAGCCCACUUGUAUCACCAAAGCAGCCUUGGGGCUAUAAAGAGCUGAGUCCCAAGUCAAACUCACCUGCUCUCCCUCUGCAGAAGCCAUCACACAUUUGGUUCCACCAAAUCAGAGAUUCCAUCUUUCCCCAAAAGGACCUUCCACAGACCUUUGGAAUCUUUCACUGAAAUCACAGUGUAAGUGUGAGGUCACAGCUAAAACCACCAGGCAGGGACUCAGGUCUUCCGGAGGGAUAAUUUUUCUCAACAGCUACUAAGUUUACUUUUGGUUAAAACCAGUGGCUUUGUCUAUGGGCUAUAUGAAACGCUUGACACAGCCUAACAAUCCCAGCAAACUCUCAGAAUCCAAUUACUAAGUAAACUCCAUUGUAAUUCAAGGAAAAACCACUAUCCUCGCUAUUUAUCCUUCACACUGAAAUAGUAAAUGAUACUGUGGGAACAAUGAAGCCCACCACUGAAGAGACCAUCAGCAAAAGGCAAAAUUGCUUCUUUACGACUCUUCUGCCCUCUAAGAUUGGAAUUUGGGGAGGAUGCAUUCAGAAAUGAUUUCCCCCCUCCCCAGUAAUGACAACAUUCAGUACCCCAUAAGAAAUGAAAUUGAAGCAUUGAUCUUAUUCGUCAAAUACAGGAUAGCUUCAGUAUUAAAAUUAACAUAUAAAUUUAGCAUCCAUCUUAUUUUCAACUCACUUCUGCUGAGUAAAUGCACAUAUAAAGAAUGAAUCACUGAAACAGUAUGCAGUGAAAUCAAGUUCAUUUUUCAAAUACACCAGUUCAAAUGCAGUCAGCGCCUGUUUUCUGGGCACCCAACAAAUGUUCCUGAGAUGCCUCCUCCCAUCGCCUCCUGCCGAUCCAGCCACAGGGCACCCUGAGGUCCUUUGGAAGACAAGUCCCUGAAGAGCAAAGCCCAUGAUAUAUAAGUCCUACACUGCACAUCCCUUCCUCUGGUCCUAGUCUUUUAAUAAUUUUUAAUGUUCUUAGGCUCUAAGAAGCCGGCCAAUUAACUGUAAGAGCCUAGUCCAGGGGUCCAGAAUCAGUGCCCCUUUCCCCUGGUACCUGUCACCUUCCCAGGUUGCUCUACAUUAAUUUCAACCACAGCCAUGUGCCUGGCUAAAAAUGCCUUGCUUCUCAAGACAUUUGUGAAACUCCUUUUGUCUUUUCCAUCAUCAAGAGUGUUGGUAUUUCACAGUGAGCUCUCACUCACACGUGUUAGAAUAGCUAUUACCGGAAUAAUUACAAGAUUACCAGAGAUUACAAUAGCUGGUGAGGAGUAGAGAAAGGGGAGCCCAUGUGCAUUGUUUGUGGGAAUGUAAACUGGUGCAGCUACUAUGGUAAACAGGAUGGAGGUUCCUCAAAAAAUUAAAAACAGAGCUACCACAUGAUCCAGCAAUUCCACUGCUGGGAACAUAUCCAAAGGAAAUGAAAACACUGUCUCAAAGAGAGAUCUGCACUGCCUGUUCAUAGCAGCAUUAUUCACAAGAUAUGGAAACAACCUAAGUGUCCAAUCAACAAAGAAAAUGUUACAUCCUGGAGUUCCCUCGUGGCUCAGCGGUUAACGAACCCUAUUAGGAUCCAUGAGGAUGUGGGUUCGAUCCCUGGUCUUGCUCAGUGGGUUAAGAAUCCGGCAUUGCCGUGAGUUAUGAUGCGGCUCGGAUCCUGCGCUGCUUUGGCUGUGGUGUAGGCUGGCAGCUAUAGCUCUGAUUCAAACCCUGGCCUGGGAACUUCCAUAUACCACGGAUGCAGCC
This 6561-nucleotide long non-coding RNA is filed under the name Sus scrofa (pig). Its description in RNAcentral is "lncRNA (ENSSSCG00000055010.1)". The record is from RNAcentral. Lineage: Eukaryota; Metazoa; Chordata; Mammalia; Artiodactyla; Suidae.